This 292-nucleotide ribosomal RNA is filed under the name uncultured eukaryote. Its description in RNAcentral is "partial 18S ribosomal RNA". It matches the Rfam family "Eukaryotic small subunit ribosomal RNA", at positions 6 to 291 of the family's 1831-position model. The record is from RNAcentral.
GGUUGAUCCUGCCAGUAGUCAUAUGCUUGUCUCAAAGAUUAAGCCAUGCAUGUCUAAGUAUAAACAUCUUUAUACAGUGAAACUGCGUACAGCUCAUUAUAUCAGUUAUGAUUUAUUUGAUGGUACCUUACUACAUGGAUACCCGUAGUAAUUCUAGAGCUAAUACAUGCGUAAAGUCCCGACUCGUGAGGGGAGGGAUGUAUUUAUUAGAUACAAAAUCAAUGCGGGUUUCGGCCCGGUUUUUUGGUGACUCAUAGUAACUGUUCGAAUCGCAUGGCCUUGUGCUGGCGAU